This is a long non-coding RNA of Conger conger (European conger), 506 nucleotides long. RefSeq lists it as uncharacterized. The transcript is spliced from 3 exons. The record is from RefSeq and is a predicted model, not a curated record. Lineage: Eukaryota; Metazoa; Chordata; Actinopteri; Anguilliformes; Congridae.
CUGACGAGAGGAAUUAAUGGACUGCAGCAUAUGAAAAUACCGCUUGCAAUGCACAGACAUAGGUCUCAUUCACACACUCCUGGACCACCUGGUCUGAAAUAGUCAUUUGUCUAAUUUCACAAGCAUAGGCCUAGCCUACUAACCAACAAACAUUUUGGCAUCAGUUAAUCAAGCCGGUCGUGGAGGUUGAUCUUUGGGCACCAUUCCACCAUGUGGAAAAACUGACCAAAUCCAAAACAUGUUCUGCAGGAAAAAAGGACACAGCAGUAAUGAGAAAGGCCGUUAUGUAAGCCGGGCCCAUUAUCAUGCGCUCUUUGAAGUGGGGCGCGGGUUCCCGACAGCGGUUUUUUUCCCUCUUCUUUUUGGCGCUGUGAUCGGCAGCCAUAGGAGAGCCCUACAGAGACCCGCGCUGCCACCCAGCCUGGCCUGUGGGGUCCUCGGCCCCCUCUCCUCCUCCGUUUGACUGACCUGGAAUUCCCAGCAAGCUACAACACAAGAGCAUGUGA